This 206-nucleotide ribosomal RNA is filed under the name uncultured bacterium. RNAcentral's name for it is "partial 16S ribosomal RNA". It matches the Rfam family "Bacterial small subunit ribosomal RNA", at positions 568 to 774 of the family's 1533-position model. The record is from RNAcentral.
CUCGUAGGCGGCCAGCUAAGUCGGACGUGAAAUCCCUCGGCUUAACCGGGGAACUGCGUCCGAUACUGGAUGGCUUGAGUUUGGGAGAGGGAUGCGGAAUUCCAGGUGUAGCGGUGAAAUGCGUAGAUAUCUGGAGGAACACCGGUGGCGAAGGCGGCAUCCUGGACCAACACUGACGCUGAUGAGCGAAAGCCAGGGAGCAAACG